Molecule: ribosomal RNA, 286 nt
Filed under: uncultured bacterium
Lineage: Bacteria
Description: partial 16S ribosomal RNA
Rfam family: Bacterial small subunit ribosomal RNA
Source: RNAcentral
UAGGGAAUCUUCCACAAUGGACGCAAGUCUGAUGGAGCAACGCCGCGUGAGUGAAGAAGGCUUUCGGGUCGUAAAACUCUGUUAUUGAAGAAGAACGUGUGUGACAGUAACUGGUCAUGCAGUGACGGUAUUCAAUCAGAAAGUCACGGCUAACUACGUGCCAGCAGCCGCGGUAAUACGUAGGUGGCAAGCGUUGUCCGGAUUUAUUGGGCGUAAAGCGAGUGCAGGCGGUCUUUUAAGUCUGAUGUGAAAGCCCUCGGCUUAACCGAAGAAGGGCAUCGGAAAC